Molecule: non-coding RNA, 9588 nt
Organism: Agelaius phoeniceus (red-winged blackbird)
Lineage: Eukaryota; Metazoa; Chordata; Aves; Passeriformes; Icteridae
Source: RefSeq, a predicted model, not a curated record
UGAGCCCCGGGGCAGCGCGGCCCCGAUCCCGCAGAGCCGCCGGGCGGGCAGGGCCGGGCAGGGCAGGACGCGCCGCCCCCGCUGCCCGCAGCUCCCGCCCCGCUGCCCAGCCGGGCUCUCCUUCCGUCUCCCAUCGGGGCCGGCACUCGGGGCUCCGGACGAGUCGCUGCCUGGGCUCGGGUAUGACAGUGCAGGGAGAUGCGGUUGAAAGAUACUAAAAACACCUAAAACAACAACAAACGAGGAAAUCCCUCCCUCUUCCUCUCCCUCGAAGAGGAACAAAACUGACAAGAGAAAGUAAUCGCUGUCAGGGUUGAAGACUGGCUGCUUCGAGUGUCCUGUGUUUAAAUUCUGCGAUGAAAGUCCAGCGUUAGUGAUUUUUGUGCUUCAGCCUCUCAUAGGCAUCACAAGAUGUGCGGGUCCUCUUUCUUGCUCUUCCUGAAAACUGGGGCAACGUUCACCAGUUUCCAGUCAGCUGAGACUUCUCCAGACUCCCAAGAUCAUUUAAAAACCAUCAAGAGAGACUUUGUGAUGACAUCAGCAGCUCUUUAAAGACUAUUGGAUGACUCCCAUCAGGAUUUGUCAGAAGUCAAUAGGAAAUACCCAGUGCAAUGUUAGCAGCCUGAAAGGUUUACCUUGGAUGCUAAAGUCUGUUUUCUUUGCUAAGAUUCCUGCAUCACUCAUUUUGGUUUUGCCUGAAGAAAAAGAAAACAAGAAAAGAUGGACUGGAACGUAAGGCCAGUCCAGAAUGCUGAUGCAAAUACAAACCUGCAAAGUGAAGGAGCAUGUUUCACUCAGUUACUUCCUAAUGGACAUGGCUUUCCUCAGACAAAUCCCAACUCCUCUAAAAAUACAUGCACUCAUGCUGAAAAUAACCAAAUCGUGUAUAUGCCAACUAUCAAUGUUGCCUUCCCUGCUGUAAAUGCCGAAGGAUUCAAAACUUCAGAUCAAACCUCACCAGGAGCAUCUGUAACUGGUAAUAAUUUCUUUAUGUCAAAAUUCUCAGUUAAAAGACAUCAGCCGAUGUAUGGAACAGGUCUGAAACCUCCCCUUCAGAAUUCCCCUUUGCGGCCAGAGAUGACUCCGACUUCUUGGCCAGUGUCUAAUCCCUACAGUUAUCCCUGCAGGAAUGUGCCCCCCCUGUCCUCCCAAGUGAACACAGGGAAUAAUUUAAGAAAUGUGCUUGGGGAGCCCCAGUACACCAACACCAACGCUUACACGGCGCAGCCAGAAAUGCUGCAGCAUAAUUCCCUGAGACUUGCAACACUACAUCAAGGUGGCAUUCAUCCCCAGAAUAAUUCUUUUCCUCUCCCUACUUCCGGGCAACAUGUUCAACCCCAAAUGUUUAAUUCCAAUAAUCAGUGUAAAGUUUUGUAUUCGGUGAAUCAAAAUACUGGGACAACUGUACAGCUGCCACAAUUUCAGCAGAGUCAGAUGGCAUCAGAAGCUCCUAGAGGAUGUUCUGCACCAUCUUUGUUGCCUGCCAGCUGUGUUUCAAGGCCUGCAGCACAAUCUUCAAUGGGUGUACCACAGGAAAUUCAAAAUGUACCCAAUGGAUACAACAUUACCCAGCAGAGGUUCCCACUGGACCCAAAAAAUGCUCCUGGGUUUAACAGUAUUCAGCAACACUGUCAGAAGCAGCAACCUGGAGAAGUCAGUCAAUCCAUCAGGAAUGUCUGUAAUCCAAGUGGAAGUGUGACAGUAAAUCGGUCUUUUAGUGAAAGUUCUGUGUCAUCCCCUGGCAUUCCCAAAGAACUGCUUGAUGUUGUGAAAGAAAUAGAAGCUCUUUCUUCAAAGCCUCUGAGUGAUCCUGCUUCAGUUCCGGAGAGCCAGACUAGUGGUUUGAUAAAUGGGCCUAUUAAUGCUCAGAUUUCCUCAGCAGCAGCAACACAUGGAGGAAUUACAAAGGAGAGACUAGCUUGGGAAGCUGAAAAGCUGAAAUGUCUUAAAAAAAGGGUUGUCCUGCUUGAAACGGUUCAUAAUUAUAAAAAAAAAAUCUAUAAUGAAAAAAAUACUCGUUCUCUUCCUCCUGGUUAUCCAUGUUCUCCUUCUAAUUGUCUUCCAUGUAUGCCCAAACAAAAUGUACAGCCUCCCCCAUCUGAAGCAGUGAGGACAGAGAGGCCCACAUUCAUGGUUCCACAUGAAGAAAGAAAUGACAAAAACCUAGCCAGUGCUGAUAACAGAAGAUUGGAGGUGACUCAAAGUAGCCCUCAGGUGAAGCAGGGAAGUCUUUCAUCAAGCUUCACUCCUGUUCCCUCUCAGAGUAAAGUCCCAGCUCAAUUUAAUAAUCCUGAGAGCACCUUGGAACAAAGGGAUGUGCAUGCCUUGGCCUCUUCUCCAGGAACUGUGACUUCCUCGAACAGUGCUUCGUGUUUUACUCCAGCAGGGAGCUCUGUCAGGGCUGCAUCAAAGACUCUGCAAAUUGGCCCUGAGAACUCAUCAUUUCUUCAGUUUGUAUUGAGCAGCACAAAUGCACUGAAAGAGAAGACAGCUGGUGCUACUGCUGAUAAAAUACUGACAAAUCUCCUGUGUAGUGAAAAACCGCUGCUUGAUACGUCUGUCUCGGGUGGAAGCUUGCUAAAAGACACCAGUGAGAAGAACAUAGAAGGUCUGAAAGGUGAGCAGGCAUCUGUGGCUCACACAAACUCUGCUGCAUCACAAACAGCUGCAUCUGGUGAUGCUCAGUUGCAGACUGAGGUAGCUCAGAAAAAACCACCAUUUACUGAAAAUGCAUCUUGUAGCCAGAGCAAUUGUAGUUACUCUAUGGAAGAGGUGGUUGCGUGCCUGCGCCUGUGGGGGAAGUAUCCACCAGAAUCUGUUAGUGUGGAAAAUAAACAGUCAAAUGAAAACCUCACAGCAAAUCAGAUUUCACCCUCUGACCAAAACACAAAGAAGGGAGAAAAAAAUCAUGUGCUGGAAAGCAUGGAUGAGGCUGUUUUGCCUGUAACAACUACCUCUGUGGGACAAAAGCUUGAUACACUGACUUCCAGUUUGAUAAAAAAUUUCGAACCUCAAGUUGCAGUUGUCUCUCCUUUAGUACUUAGUGAACAAAGAGCACUAAGUGAGCAGGCAGGCAAGAUCCCAACACCUGAAGGUAAAACCUAUCCAGUGAUCAACUCGGGGAGCACGUGUAGCUUGCAAGAAGAGGGGGAAAAUGGUUUAAGUGUGGCAAGUACUGUCAAAAGAACUGUAGAAAACGGUUGGUCAUCACCCACUGAUUGUGUUCUGGAACAAAUAGUGGACUCACAUUUGCAACAGAUCAAAGCAGGUGAUGAAAACCAAAGCAAAGUUAGCCAAUCUGCACAAGAUGCAAGAAAAAAUCUGCAGCUUGGAUUACAAAACAAGGCUCCUCUUCCUGAAUCAGGCACAAAUAUUUGUAGUCAAAUCUCUCAAGAAGGUACAAGAGACCAUGAAGACAAGCAAGCUGUGUUAGAGGCAGGGGAUGCAUCCACAGCUCUGCUGGAAAAUGACAUGUUUUGUAUUUCUAGUGUAUGCUCUCUUGUUGAAGGUGAUAAAUUUUAUAACCCACAAAUAGCAGGCAUGUUCAAGUCAGUCUAUGAGACACAGGCAUCAGAAGGAAACACAUCUGGUGCAAGGCAAAAGGAGCAACAUCUGGACUUGAGUAAAACUGAGCUGAGCAAUAACACUGCCCAAAGAGAGAGCUUGCUGCUAAAAAUGUUGGAAGAGUCAUCAAGUCAUUCGGAGAAGGAAAGCAGUGGCAAUCCUCCUAAAGCAGUUUCUACCUCUGAACAAAGCACGUCAUUCAAGGCAUCUGCCAAGCAUCCUGAAAAUUCCCUAGAAAGUCUUGCUAAGAUAAAUCAGAAGUUAGCUCAAAAUUCACUGGAUUCCUCUAUCAGCAUAACUGCUAAAACAAAUGCACCUGCUGUUUCAGGAGACCACAGUAAACAAAAUUCCAUGCCCAGUAAAAAUAGCAUGGAAAAGGAGGUGAACUUUUUUGGAGCAAAGCCUAGCAAAUAUCUAAAAGAUCAGCUGCUUGCUCUAGUGAAGGAGUUUCCAUAUGGCAUUGAAGGUGCUGAUAUGCUAACAAAAGAAGCAGCACAAAAUCGUUCAGCAGCUGAAGGGACAGAGAACCAGUCUCAAAAAGAGGUUAAAAUUUGUGACAAGAAUUCUCAUUUGAAGGACCCAGUAAAUCAGACUAAAGUUGCAGUGUUAAGAUCUGAACAGGUUCAAGAACUGUCUCCUGGGCACAACCAGUGUCCCUCUAGUGACAGCAAGAGAGAAGUGAGUCAGCAGUCAGAAAAGGCUUCAGCUGACAAGGACAAGCUUGAAGGCAGUGUCCAGCCUAGUCAGGAUCUAUGUGAGAAGGAAAAAACCCCACAAGAAACUUCUAAGCCCAGUGAAAAAAGUGAAGAUUGCUCUUUAACGGGUGGUCCAUCUGUAGCAUAUAAAACAUCACAUUAUCCCUCUCAAUUAGAAACAUCUGGUUCAGAGAAAAAUGGUUGUCAACUUUCAAAAGCUGAAAAUACUGACUCUGCAGAGACAGAAGAAAAAUCCAGUCAAUCUGAUGCCUUGAAAAAGGAAAACUGUGCAGUGGGAGGAGACCUGACAAUUUCUGAAAAAAUCCCAGACAGUAUUAGCAAAAAUAAAGAUAUUUGCAAAUACACUUCUGAAAUGAACAAAAAACCUAGGCUGAAGGUGGAUAAUGAAUACAAACUGCCUACAACACAGCAGGAAAAAACUGGACCAGUUAAUUCCUUUGAAAACCAGGAUGCUGAUAAAUGCAAAAGCAGCAGUUUGAAGGAAAAUCUGCAAAUUGACAAAGGAACCCAAGUGUCAAGUAAAGAAUUGAAUUCUUUCAAAAAAGAGCACCAGACAGCCUCCGAAGAGUUAGCAGAAAAAGCUGAUCAUACAUAUGCAGACAACAGGGCAAAGUUGUCCGUAAAGAAGGAGAGAGUUUUCAAAACUGAGUCCCUUUCAAAAGAUACAACCAAACCAGGUCUGACCAUAAAAUCCAAAACAGACAUUCUCCAGUCUGUGAAGUCAGAAAUGGUUGAAAUUAAGCAUUCUGAAGUCAGUCAAGGACAAAAAAUUAAAACUUGUGAAGAGAACUCAGCUGAAGAACAAAACUGUAGGGAACAAAAGGAGGUGCUUAGGCAAGAUGUAGGAAUUAGCGUCAAAGUGCAAACAAAAUUACCAGCAGAAAUGAAACUCAAAAAAUUGAGUAGUUACCGAGCCGAUGCUGUAAAAUUCUCAGAUAGUAGCUCUGUAGACUUCAAAUCAAGACACACAAAAUAUUCUCAGCAUAAAUCUGUGAAAGUUCAUCCUUUGCAAGAGCAGCCAUACAAACGGAAGAUGAAGGAAAAUAUGGUUGGGAAGAGAGAAUUUAAGAAAGCAAAGCUGGAAGAGGAAGGAUUGAAACAAUCCGAAGGAAAGAGUUCUAAGCAGCUUGCACACAAUUGUUUGCUAAAUGCUGACAAAGCUAAAAAACUGAAUGGAGAAAAUGGUUGGAAACCAAGGAGUUCCUUAGCAGAUUGCUCUGUGCUUAAACUGCAGAGAAAAAGGGCUCGAUCUUCUAGCAUGUCUAAAAACUUCUUUUCUAGCAAAGAAAGACAUCUUGAUGGUCAAAACAAAGACAAGUGCUCUGAGAAAAUGUUUCCUGAUAAAAAUCUUCUAUACCUAAACAGAAGAAAUAGACUAAAGCUGCAUCUUCAAAAGGAACCCAAAAAGCACUACCUGAACAGAGUGGCAUUUAAACGUACGGCACAGGAGCGCAUCUGUCUGACAAAAUUAGAGACAUCGCCUGUCAGACCUGUCUGGCAUAGAGCCACCAAAGUGCCACAAAGCAGCAACUCAAAAAAAGAUGUGUCUGUCUCGACAGUUGAGAAAUCAUGCAAACAGGAAGUCCUUGAGUUCAAGCUGUGUCCAGAGAUAGAGUUCAGGAAUCCAGCCCCUGGUGAAGAAAGCUUAGCUGCAAAGAAUUCUCCAGAAAGAGAUAAAGUCGUUGUAGAAGGUGUCAAGAGUAAAAAAGAAGAUUGGUUAAAAUGUGAACCAGUGAAACAAAAGAAACUGGAAGAGAUCUCUGCAGUGCAUCAGUCACAGCAGCUCAGCUGGGCCAAGCUUGGUAUCACACAUACAUCAGUGGUUUUUAGGCAGGGACAGAAUCUGACCCUUUAACAGAAGAAAAUUCCAUGAUGUAAAAUCUCUUGGUACUUAUGGAUUAAGAAUUACCAUGACUUUUAAUCAACUGUUCAGUACAGGGUCCAUAUGGCAGAAAAGAAGACCUGUGGUCUUUGAUCUUAUUUGAGUUUCAUCAAAGAGAAGGAAACAUAUGAUCAAGACUACUCUGAACUGUAAUUAAACGUUGUCCUCCUGUUGACCCAGUUAUCAAGAGCUACUUCUUCAUGUGAGCUGGAAAAAUCAAAGUAAGGGACUCCAUGAGCAAAUUUUUCCAGACCAGGCUAUAAAGGCAGCUGCAAGGAGUGGCAGAAUAACUGCUGGGAAUGGGAGGUCUGUCUGAGAACUCCUCUGAUGCUGCAACCAGAAAAUCCUGAAGACAGGGGAUCGAUUUGUUCACAACGAGUCCUUGCUGGCUUUGGCACAUUUCAUUAUACAGAGUGAACAAUAAUUGGUCUCAUUGGUAUAUAGCUCUUUUAUAUGUGUUUUUAAGGAUGGAGAUACAUCACAUGUGUAUUUUAUCAGUACUCUGUCAGCACAUGGCAGCUGAACCCAGCAGCAAUGACAGAAUUAUUUAGAUUAGGGUUUAUAUAUAGAUAUGCUGUGAAUUUUCACUUUAUUAAUGGCUUUGCAGGACUCCUUGUCUUCUAUGCAGUAUAAAUAUGAAAUUAAAUCACGUAAAGAAAUGUAGCUUUUGUUGUAUGCCUUCAUAGUAUCAGUGGUAGGGUGGCAGGAGAAACCUGAGGAAAGCAGAGAAUGUAAAAGGGGAAUGGAGAGAGGAUAAAAAGAAGAGGAAUAUGCAGAACAGAGUGUUGAAGGUGGAUUUAAGAAAAACAAAGCUACUUAAAGACCAAAAAAAAUUGUUUUGACUCCCAGGGAACCAAUUGAAGCUUCUUGGGAACUACUGACAUAUAAAUCUGUGAGGAAGAACAGGGAGCAGAAAUGUAGAACAUCCAUGUCUGUGGCAAAUAAUUCUUGUAGUAGGCACGAGCUGGUCCUGCCUGCUGCUCCCUGCUGUUCAGAAAUGUCUGCAAGUGAUGCAGUGGGAAGUGCAGGAACACAUCUGGAAUGUACCACAGGAACCUGCCCUGGCCAUUUGAGAGACCAAACACCCUGGGCACUGCACAGCUCUGCUGUCCCUGCAGCUGUGUCAGCGUGGAGCUGUGUUAGUGGUUAAGAUGAUGAAAUAGUCUGCGGAGCAGGUAAAUGUGAUUUUCCACAUGUAUUGGCAGGUCUGCAACAUUCAGCAUGAAGGAUUGUUUAGAGACAUACUCUUUUAUUCCAGAUCUCAUUCCUAACUCAAGGAAUAAGCACCAUUAAUUCAGAGGCAUUCACUGAAAACAUCAGAGAAUGUGAUGUGCAGAAAAUGAAACAAAAGGCUGCAGAGACCUUUAUCUUUGAAGGGUUUCUUUAAAUUCCCACUGACAGUCAGUACCUCACGCUCCAAAGAUUGAAGCAUUUGUUCAUGUAGAGGUUAACUGCAGUCAGAGGAAGCAGUUUAGCCAUGCUCAGACUGAUCCAGAAUUGGGACAGCCUGUCAGUUUAGGUGGGAGGGUGUCUGGGGAGCUGUGCCUCGGGCACUGCCUGAUCCCAGUGUCCCAGCAUCCCCAUGCUCCCAGCUCCCUGAGCCAGCCUGGCAGCUGUGAUGCUGUGAUGCUGUGCACUGAAUAAGGUCAGGGAAGUAAUCCACCAGCAAAUUUUGGGCACCUGUAAUACAUUUUGCUUUUCUCUUUAAGCAGAUCACUGGUUAGAAGGAAAAUCAGGAGUCUCAGAGCAGCUAAUGUAACCUCUACCUACAUUUAUUGUAUCCAAUCAUUACAACCACAGCUUAUUAAUAGCAAUAAUUGAAAAGAAACUUUGCUUAAUAGUGAGGUUUCUUUUCCCCUUAGGCUGCCAACAGCUUUCCCAUAUAUAAUCUCAUUUUUCAACAUAAUUUCAUCUAUCAGGCUGGCUAUAAUAAGUUUUUACUUCAUUUUUUAGUGCUUAGUCACCCAAGUAAGUUUUCUUCUGAUAUUUUUGUUCAAGCUCCUCUAUCAAGACAGCAGAAUCUGGAGCACACAGAGACUCAGACUGAAGAGAGAGCUGCACAGGAGAGCAGGCAGCUGGCUUGUCAUCCCUAGCAGCUCCUUCCCUGACAUCCAUUUCCCAUGAGAAUGGCAGCAGCAAGGUACUGUUGGCCGUGUUUUCUGAAGGGAAAGGAAGGGAGGACCUGUUUCAGUGUGUGGUCAUAUCCCCAGACAUUACUGACAAGGAUCAGAUGGCAGAUUGCCAUCUCUGAGGACAAUUCCUUUCACCCUGGGUUCUAUCUCCAAUCCACUGACAAUUCUCAGCCAGUCACUGAAGCCUCACACAUUUCCCAUACACUUUCUGAUUUUGGUUUUUUUCUUAUUGUCAUAUUGACAAAGACAUCCUUCCAUCCCUCCUUCUCUUUCCCCUCUCCAGCCCUGAUUUUCUAGUUCACAUCUACCACAGGUGGAAGAGAAACACCAAUGUGGUACUGUCAAGCUCAACCUACUUAGUUCCCCAAGCAAGGGACAGGCUGCACAGGGAAAAACUGCACAUACAGGGCUCACACAUCGUCACCAUCAUAUUUUCUGAAAAAUCCCUUCGCCAGGAUUUCUUCUCCUGGGAAGGUGAGAAACCUCAGAGAAAAAUGAAAACAAUAAUUAUCUGAUUUGCUUCUCCUGUAUUUUGCUGCUUUGGAAUGUGGUUUGGAGAUUGUUUACCAACUGGUCAUUGUUUGAUUGGUUUCAUGUGAAUUGUUUUGACUUAAUGACCAAUCCCAGCCAGCUAUGUCGAGGCUCUGGAGAGUCACGAGUAUUUCAUUAUUAUCUUUUAGCCUUCUGUCUGUGUCCUUUCUCUAUUCUUUAGUGUAGCUUAGUAUAGCAUUCUUUAAUAUAGAUCAUAAAAUAAUAAAUUAGCCCUCUGAGAACACGGAGUCAGAAUCUCAAUUCCUCCUCCGUCUGGGGAACCCAGAAAAUACCACAACACAUCAGAAUUAUCUGGGGUCUUCACCAUGCACAGUGAGCAUGCACAGCCAGUCCUGGAGGAACAUGAAGUUGCUCUGCCCAAUCUGUCUCUGUGCUGGGCAAUGGGCAGCAGCACCUCAGUGCCAGCAUGUGAUGGUUCCACUUGGGGCAAUCUGCUUCCAUGAGAUGUUGGAUGUUUUCAGAGCAAUGAAAUCUGCACUACUCAGGGACUUCUGGCUGGAUGUCAACAUAGGCCACUAGCAAAUUUCUCCAUGAAACCACCUUCCCAGCAGUUUCAGAUACUGUUCUUCAGUGGCUUUUUGAUCCAUGGCCCAUUACAAGGCUCACCUCACUAUAUUUGUACUAUCCUACCAAUCACAGCUCAUGAUGCUCAGUAACUCAGCCCCCGAUCAAGGCAAAGUCAUGAUUCUCCUGUAAUAUCAGUAUUUAUAAACAAGUGUAUAAAUAAAUGUUUGUCUGUGGG